UUUCAAGUUUUUGAGGGCGCAUGGUGGAUGCCUUGGCAUCAGGGUCCGAUGAAGGACGUGGGAGCCUGCGAUAUUCCUCGGGGAGCCGGCAGCCAGGCUGUGAUCCGGGGGUUUCCGAAUGGGGUAACCUGGCACUCGUUGUGGGGUGUCGCCGCCGUCUGAAUGUAUAGGGCGGUUGGUGGGGACGCGGGGAAGUGAAACAUCUUAGUACCCGUAGGAUGAGAAAACAAUUGUGAUUCCCUGAGUAGUGGUGAGCGAAAGGGGAGGAGCCUAAACCGCGCGCGUGUUCAAGCCGGCGGGUGUUGCGUGUGCGGGGUUGUGGGGUUCUUCUGUGUUGGUUCCGCCGAGCCGACGGGGAGUGAUAAAGCGUUGGGGUAGUCGAAUGGUUUGGGAUGGCCGACCGUAGACGGUGAGAGUCCGGUAGGCGAAACCCUGGCGGUCUUCCUUGGGAGGGUUCCCGAGUAGCACGGAGCCCGUGUAAUUCCGUGUGAAUCUGCCACGACCACGUGGUAAGGCUAAAUAUUGCCCUGGUGACCGAUAGCGGACGAGUACCGUGAGGGAAAGGUGAAAAGUGCCCCGGUGAGGGGUUGUGAAAGAGUACCUGAAACCGUGUGCCUACAAGCCGUCAGAGCUCCCGCACCCCCUGGUUGGGGUGUGGUGUGAUGGCGUGCCUUUUGAAGAAUGAGCCUGCGAGUUGUGGUGUGUGGCGAGGUUAACCCGUGUGGGGGAGCCGUAGCGAAAGCGAGUCCGAACAGGGCGUGCCUGCCCGUUGGGUGGGGUGUAGUCGCAUGUUGCAGACCCGAAGCGGGGUGAUCUACCCAUGGGCAGGGUGAAGCGCCGGUAAGACGGUGUGGAGGCCCGAACCCACCAGGGUUGAAAACCUGGGGGAUGAUCUGUGGGUAGGGGUGAAAGGCCAAUCAAACUCCGUGAUAGCUGGUUCUCCCCGAAAUGCAUUUAGGUGCAGCGUCGUGUGUUUCUUUCCGGAGGUAGAGCUACUGGAUGGCCGAGGGGCCCGACAAGGUUACCGAAGUCAGCCAAACUCCGAAUGCCGGGAAGCGAAGCGCGGCAGUGAGACUGCGGGGGAUAAGCUUCGUAGUCGAGAGGGAAACAGCCCAGAUCGCCGGUUAAGGCCCCUAAGCGUGUGCUCAGUGGUAAAGGAUGUGGAGUCGCGAAGACAGCCAGGAGGUUGGCUUAGAAGCAGCCAUCCUUGAAAGAGUGCGUAAUAGCUCACUGGUCAAGUGAUUCCGCGCCGACAAUGUAGCGGGGCUCAAGCACACCGCCGAAACCGCGGCAC
Molecule: ribosomal RNA, 1294 nt
Filed under: Actinomycetota bacterium
Lineage: Bacteria; Bacillati; Actinomycetota
Description: Actinobacteria bacterium partial 23S ribosomal RNA
Rfam family: Bacterial large subunit ribosomal RNA
Source: RNAcentral